GACGAACGCUGGCGGCGUGCCUAAUACAUGCAAGUAGAACGCUGAAGGAGGAGCUUGCUUCUCUGGAUGAGUUGCGAACGGGUGAGUAACGCGUAGGUAACCUGCCUGGUAGCGGGGGAUAACUAUUGGAAACGAUAGCUAAUACCGCAUAAUAGCAGUUGUUGCAUGACAACUGUUUGAAAGGUGCAAAUGCAUCACUACCAGAUGGACCUGCGUUGUAUUAGCUAGUUGGUGGGGUAAAGGCUCACCAAGGCGACGAUACAUAGCCGACCUGAGAGGGUGAUCGGCCACACUGGGACUGAGACACGGCCCAGACUCCUACGGGAGGCAGCAGUAGGGAAUCUUCGGCAAUGGACGGAAGUCUGACCGAGCAACGCCGCGUGAGUGAAGAAGGUUUUCGGAUCGUAAAGCUCUGUUGUAAGAGAAGAACGAGUGUGAGAGUGGAAAGUUCACACUGUGACGGUAUCUGACCAGAAAGGGACGGCUAACUACGUG
This 495-nucleotide ribosomal RNA is filed under the name uncultured bacterium. RNAcentral describes it as "partial 16S ribosomal RNA". It matches the Rfam family "Bacterial small subunit ribosomal RNA", at positions 28 to 507 of the family's 1533-position model. The record is from RNAcentral.